GGAGGCGGGGUAGACAGCCAAUGGGGGAGUUUGGGGCGGGGCUGGUGGUAGGAUGGCGGCGGCCAUGGUGAGCUCGGCGGAGCGAGCGGUGCUGGAAGAAGAGUUUAAAUGGCUGUUACAGGAAGAGGUCCAUGCUGUUUUGAAACAGCUGCAGGAUAUUUUGAAGGAGGCCUCCCACAGGUUCGCCCUGCCAGCGGGGGGCUCGGAAGGAGCAGCCAAGCAGGAGAGCUUCGUGCUGAGUGUGGCAGGCAUGGACCAGGUAAAAGGUGUGUUGACACUGCAAGGAGAUGCCUUGUGUCAAGCUGACCUUAAUUUGAAAAUGCCCAGAAGUAAUCAGCUCCUGCAUUUUGCAUUCCGGGAAGACAAGCAGUGGAAACUGCAGCAGAUCCAGGAUGCUAGAAACCAUGUUAACCAAGCAAUUUACCUGCUUAUGAACAGAGAUGUAAACUACCACUUCAAGACAGGCUCAGAGGUUCUCAAGCUUAUGGAUGCUGUGAUGUUACAGCUCUCAAGAGCACGGAAUCGACUCACCACUCCAGCCACUCUGACUCUACCAGAAAUUGCCUCCAGUGGUCUCACAAAAAUGUUCAGCCCUGCUCUUCCUCCAGACAUCCUUGUGAAUUUCUAUAUAAACCUGAAUAAGCUGUGCCUGACUGUCUACCAACUCCAUGUGCUACAGCCCAGCACGACCAAGAACUUCAAGCCUGCUGGAGGAUCCAUCCUGCACAACCCUGGAGCCAUGUUUGAGUUCGGCAACCAGCGGUAUGAAGUCAGCCAUGUCCAUAAAAUGGAGUCCGUUGUCCCAUGGUUAAAUGAUGCCCUUGUCUUCUUCACAGUUUCACUGCAGCUUUGCCAGCAACUGAAGGACAAGAUUUCAGUUUUCUCCAGUUACUGGAACUACAAGCCAUAUUAAUUCCCUGUGGACCUUCCGAACCCUUAAAACACUUCCAGUGUCUCCCUGUUUGUUUUCUGUGUGCCAGUUGAGUCCAGGUCAGCCUGUGAGGAGUGCUGUGAUUCGUUUACCACCUCAUGGUCCUCUUCAGGGUAGGGUCAAUGGACCUGGAGGCACAUGUCUGGUAGCCUUGUCUGGGAAUAAUGCAUGAGCAGGGCACCAAGCAAUACUGUGUGGUUGGUGGGAGCUUCCACCUGUCUUCAUUGUGUGGUUUAUGCUUUGCCAACCUCUGAUAAACAUCAGUCCCUUACAAGGGAUGGGGAGCUGUGGAUCAACCACGUUCAGUAACAGUAUUUGCACACAGUGCUAUCACUAACUGCUGGACUGUGAGCUGGUUGGGAAGGGGUGAAAUUAGACUCAUCUAACACACCACCAAAAGUGCAUGGCAUGUUGGUCCAGCUGCAGUUAUGACUAGUUCAGCUUUUCUCUCCAAUCUGUUCUGGCCAUACCCGUGUUACUGAUUCCCCUUUGAAGAUAUUGUUACUUGCUACUAUUUGAGCUUUUUUUCCUUGGCAUCAAUGUGAUCAUCUGUAUUAUUUAUUUUUCCUAAACCCCAGUCCAGCCACUUGGUUUUUUUCCAGGUGUGGUAUCUCAUUUUCAUUGCCAGCUUUUGGAGCUGCCUUGGUACCUUGAACACAGCUGUGCAGUCUCACAUCCUGUCAUUAAACUCAAAUCAUGUUUUGAAGUGGCUGUAUGUACUGUGACUGGAUUGAGUUGGCUCUUGGAGCUGACUGGCUAUGUUGGAGAAGCAUUGCCUAUCUCCUGCUUGGCAGCUACUCACCCUGUCCAGCCUGUGUUUCUGAUGGGUUUCAUCACUGGAGGACCUUACCCAGGAGCCUAGAUGUGUGCUGAGGUCCUCCCAGAUAUACUGGUCCAAAAUAUGGUGGGCUGUCAUGCCCUGGAGACGUCGUCCAGUUCCCCCUCAGAUUUGGACAGCAAGAGGAAGCUUUCUGGUUGGCCUUGGCUACACAAUGAGAACUCAGUUUGCUGUGCUACCUCCAAUCUGCUAUGCUGAUGCCUUUCCCCAUCAGAAAAGCAAGAGCAAAGCUUUGCCUGUGCAACAUUUUCUUUGUUGUGUGCUCACAGGGUGGUACCAGCAGGUCCCUGCUGCAGGCUGACACCAGGCUAGAAGGACACCAUCACACCACUGAGAGAGAGAUGGGGUGUCCAGCUGAAACCUUGCUGUGUCCAGCUUGGGUAAGAUCUGGGGAGAAAUUGUGUCUCAGCAAGAACUUCCAUGGUGUCGAUACAACUCUUGCUGCAUAGAGCAGCCAUUCCUCACAGACUGUCAUGGCUAAGCAUGUGCUGCACAGAUGUGCUGCACUUCUCUGUGCACGCAGACCUGUUCCUUGGUUGUCCUCUCAAUGGUUUGUUGCACACAUGCAUCAUGCUGGGAGCACUGAGGUGUGCAGAAGAACACAGGCAUCCAUGCAGUGUAUCCGAGGGGGAGGCAGUUCUUUUUGCUGGAAAUCUCUCAAGAAAUUGGAAUUGUUUGUCCUGACUGCUGUGAAUAGCUAAGAGUACAAUGUCUCCCUGCUUCUCAUCACUUACAGUCUAAUUAGAGCCCAAUUCCACUGCCAUUCAAACUGAGCUGUCAGCUCAGGCAAAUGAAUGUUUUACCUCUAAGCUUCUUAUCAGCAGAGUCUGUAAUUCACCUGGAAGAUAUUCAUGUGUGCCAAUUCACUGCCUGAGGAAUGGAAUGACGUUUGUCUCAUUGCUGGGCUGCUGAUUAUGAGAGCUGGGAUAAGGGCAGUGGCAGCAGGGAAGGCAAAUACAUUUGCCCACUUGGCUGGCUAGAAGCCUGAGUGGUUUACAGGCAGAUGAAAGGUUACACAGGGAGACUGAAUGGGACACUGAAAGCUUGGUAACACAGGGAGACACAGGGAGUCUGAAAGCUUGAAUGGGCAAAGAGACAAUCUGAUGCAUUUAUUUGUUGAGUGAUUAGGUAGAUAUAAAUGGACACGAGCGAGACCUCAGUUAAGCAGCUGAUGAAAAUUGUUUUGUUGUCUGGCAAAUGGCCCUGGGAACAAAAAUGAUUUGUGCUCCAAAAGGAAACAUGGACUCCAAAAUGUUGGAGCUGGUGCAGGAGGCACUCCUUGGCACCUGAGCUGUAAAAUCACUCGGCAUCUUGAUGGAUCUCCUCAGUCUGCUCUCUCCUCCCUGUGUUCCUGUUGCUGGUCCAGCUGUCACUUUGUCACAGAUUUGCCAUCUUCCCCACUGCGUGUUGGGACUGGGACUCCCUCUUUGCUGGACAUCCCCAGGAGAGCAUGGAGUACUUUUGGCAGCUGCAGUCACAGGGUGUUGGGAAGUGUAAGGCAGAUGCAAGAGCAGUUUCUCCUUUUUUUUAAGUAGAUCAUCAGGUUCUGUACUUUGCAGUGGUGUGGGCAAUGCUGCUCAGGUUAUCAGUGUGGUCAGCCAUUUCCCUGAUGCUGUGUGGAAGGAGGGAGGAGGUUUGCUGGAGGUUGCUGCUGGGCUGGUUUUGGGGUCAAAUCCUGCAUAGGGAGUCAGGCCAUAAGUGAAGAAAACAGGAAGGGAAUGUAAACUUGCAUAUGAAUGCAUGAAAAGGGCCACAGAGCCACUCGGUGCCUUUCUGUUCAGGUUAUCUGCCCACCAGAUGUUAUUCCUAGACCUAAGCAUGCUCCAGAGAGCCUGGUGGUCUGACAGCAGAUCCUGCUCCCCUGCAAGCCUACAGUGGCAUGAACUCCUACAAGGACCAUCACUGAGGCUGAUUGAGCUUUCCUCUGAGAAAGCUUUGGACGUGAACUUGAGCACUUCCACGGGCAGGGUGGAGGAUUUGCUGCCAAUUAUAAUGACUGUCACCUUGCCAGAGAGAAGAAAUGCACCCAUUCUAAGUCAGAACACGUGCAACUUCUGUUUUCCAGCUAGAUCUGAGAUUCCAACCUGCAAAUGGGGCUUCUCUGUUUUUGCUAGCACAAAGAGGCGGUGCAUGUCUGGACUGAAUGCCAAAUACCUGCUUCUUUCCAGCCUGCCAAGUGAGCGGGGAGAAGAAGGGUCUCCAUCACAAGCAGUAUUCACUCAUUCUCACUGAUUCUCCCUUUCUAGUGAUGAUCUGUGGCACAGUCAUUUUAAUGGGGUUUUAACCCAUGUCUUGUGCAUUAUUCUGAUUUUGUAUUGUUCUGGCCUUUUAAUCAAGCACUCAGGCAUGGGACAGUGCCAAUCAAAGGGGGUUAUAGAAAAUAGCUUUCAUCAAGGUCACUUGAUAUUUUUCAGUACAGGAUAUUUCAUGUCAGAAGACAUCUGUAAAAGCUCUGUUCUACCAUUGUGUGGCAGUAAUCAAUGAAUCUUAUUUUAGUUUUUCCAUCAUUCUGCUGAUGCCUGUCUAAAAGCAUAGCUGGACUGUAGAAUCAUCAAAUCAUUCAGAUUGGAAAAGACCUCUAAGAUCAUCUCAUCCAACCAUCCACAUACCACCAAUACUGCCCACUAAACCACAUCCGUGAGUACCACAUCCACAUGGUUCUUGAACACCUCUGGGGAGGAUGACUGCAUUACCUCCCUGGGCAGCUUGUGCCAAUGCUUGAGCACUCUUUUGGAGUGGAAAUUUUUCUUAAUAUCCAACCUAAACAUCCUCUGGAACAAUUUAAAGCCAUUCCCUCUCAUCUUAUUGCUGUUACCCUGGAGUAGAGGCUAUCCUCCACCUUGCCACAACCUCCUUUCUGAGACUUAUAGAGGCAAUAAGGUCUCUCUGAGCUUUCUCUUUCCAGCUGCUCCUCCUGAAUGGACUGUGUGCCUGUGCUGUGUGUGGCUUGUCUCCAGUACUAGUGCUGAGGUAGUGUUGGCAUGUGGGCAUUGCUGGAAGGAGGUCCCAGUGGACCUGAUUAGGGACAGCUCUGUGCAGAGAAUGGGACGAGCUGCGUUGGGUUGGCUUGUGGACAAGCUGGUGCCUAUUGGCACUGGGUUGUGGUGAAAACAGAGGUUCCCAUCCCAAGGAGUAUUGGUGCUGCUUGGAAAGGAAAUGUUUUGUGCUGAGAAAGUCAAGGGGAUACUGCUGUUUAAGCCUGGUCUCAGGCUGGUCCCCUGGCCUGUCUGCCUGGGGACAGCAGGCUUUGAUCCAGCACUUAGAGGAGUGAAGAAGGCUCCUCCUGUCAAAGGGAAGAGGCAAACCUACAAAGAAGUAUUUAAUGCACCUGAGUUCCUGAUAACUCUCCAGUCAAUGUAGCAGCUAACCUGAGGAGAGUCUGGAGUCCCUGAUGGGAUGGCUCUGAAAGUGUGAGGGCUGCAGAAGAGUGGGAGCUGCCUUUGGCAUGCGGCUUUUCCCUAGAGAGAAAGGAACUGAGGCAAAACCAAGGACUGGUGCUGUAGGGAGCAGCAGGAGGUGCGACUUUUGUAUAAGUACAUCAGCAUCAGCCCUCAGAUUGGGCUCUGAAGCUGUCAGAGUGACCAUAGAUCUUUGGGGCAGUAGACGUUUUGUGUCAGGAAGUGGAGCAGCACUUCUGAACGCCCAAAACAUCCCCCCCAAAAAGGGAUUUUGAGCAUGCAGUCUUGAAGUCUAGAGCUUCCUUGCCUCUGAGCAUUGCCAGCUGUGAUGUGUGAGGGUGGUGAGGCACUGGAACAGGUUGCCCAGGAGGCUGUGGAUGCCUCAUCCCUGGAAGCAUUCAAGGCCAGGCUGGAUGUGGCUCUGGGCAGCCUGGGCUGCUGGUUGGUGACCCUGCACACAGCAGAGGGUUGGAACUGGAUGAGCUGUGGUCUUUUUCAACACAGGCCAUUGUAUGAUUCUAUGAUGGAAACUGCUCCUUCUCCACGCCAGACUCUGUGCCCAGUGGCAGCAGUUCUUGCUGGUGCCAGUGCUUACAGGAGAGAGUCAGAUUGUUUUAACUGUGCAUUUAGCUCUACUCCAGCUUGAAAAUUAUCACCUUUAAAGUAAGCUUAAACUAAGAUCAGGGCUGUUCUAGAUUUAGCUACUGGCUUGGGCAGUUGCCAGCUGGGAGCCAUUAGCAGGAGCAGGAAGGACGGUGUGGGCAGGAAGCUGCACAGGACACCACACCAGGAUUUUGUUGUCUACCACAAAGCCAGGUCGAACACUUCAUUAGAAGCAAACUGUGCCAUGUUCUAAUAUUAGCAAAUGUGCAAACAGCUUGCUCUGUCCGUUGCUGCUGUGCAGGCUGUGCCUUUGGCUCAGGCAUCCAGUGCUUGUAUACAUUUAAACAUCCCUUGAAAUACGUGUCUUUAUCUGUGAGGGCCCAAUACAAGGAGAAUCCUGCCCAGCAAGUUGGAUAGUACACAAAGGACUCUGCUUGGAUCCUUUUAUUGAUGCAGUAGUCCAAGCUGUUAUUUCAGAUGGCCACAGUCCAGAAGGAAUGAAUGUCAGGGCUGUAGGGCUAGGAAGGUUGUUGUGGCUCAGUCUUUCUGGGAGAGCUGUGUCUAGAGGCCCCAGCAUGAGCAAUGAGCUUAAUUAUUGCUGACAGGUCCCAAAUUAACCUGCGGCUGCUGAGAUGAAGAGAAGCACCUGUAGGUUGAGGAGUUUUAUCUUCUGUGCUGAUACCAGGCAACAGAAAAAGAAAUGGAGGAUGUGUGUUGAGCUCUCACAUGCUCAUUUGAUGGUAUAGGAGAUGAAGUUAAAAUCGGUGACUGAAGGUUUCACUGAGCUAUAGGGCAGAGCACCAGGCAGGCAGUGACCACAGUGCACUGGCGUAUAGGGGCUAUGGCUGAUUGUGAGGAAGGAGAAAAGGGACUUGUGCUGAGCAAGAUGCACCUUGGGCAAAAAUUUACAGCUCUAGAUCUUGAAAGAAUUUACCAUUUGCUUCCACAGCUAUAGAUCCCCACUUCAGUGUCUCUGGUACCUUCAGAUUAACCUGAGGAGCUGCCUGCUGCAGCGUAUCCUGCUGCAGGCACCCAUGUGUGCUUAUGGCACCUUAUGGGCAGUAGAAAGGGCAUGUGAGAAGAGAUGUCAAUACCACUCACUACAUGGGACCAGAAAGCUGUGACUUCAACACAGUAAUGUGUGUGGCAGGCGUAUGGGCCCUGAAACUAAAAUUGCCUCUUCUACCCAACUGCACCUAAGAGAAGAAAUUAUAUGUCCAUCCAGAAGCAUCAAGCUGAAUAAUAAUCCUGCUAUCCCCAGCACAGCUUCUUUUUCUAUUGCUUUUCAUUCAUUCAAAUGAAAUUAUUACUCUCUGAAAGUUGAACACUCUUGGUCAGUGGGGAAGGAUGAACUUGGUGUAAGAGCAGAUGGAACCAUUUAUUUCUGCUUGGGUUGGUACUCAUUUCUCUGAAGGCAUCUGGAAGUAUUUUGACACCUGCCCUGAUGCACACACCAUGUUGUAAUAAUAUCAAGCCAUGCUCCAGACUCUCUAAUCACAGUGUUUAUGUAACUGGCACGCUGGGAGGAUGCAGAAGCAGACAUGGGAGCUCCCAGGAACUCAGACAGGCCAUACAGAAGACAGGCUCCAUGUCCAAGGGUGCAGUCUGCCUGCUCAUGUCUUUAUUGAUCCCAGCUUUAAUCGCCAGGACUUGCAUUUCCUCCUUGUCUAUUCCCUCUGUGCUUAUUAAAGGCACUGCUGAGGUUCUUGUACAAACCACUCAGCUAAACGGUGGUGGGCAUCUCUGCCAAUAUACUCAAAUUAGUACUGGUCUCUGUCUGACAUUAGGAGAGAGAGGUAUAAUUAAGAUAAUUACAAGCAAUUCAGUAGCGGACAGGGAGAGCAAACUGUCUUUCACAUGAGAAAAACACACCAUGUUAGCGACUCUGCCCAAACCAUCACAGCACAGUGAAAAAUUGGAGAUCUCCAGCUGGCCCACUGGUGUCUGAUCCCCAGCGCAGCCCAAAGGUGACCCCAGGGAUUGGGUACGCUCCCAGCACACCCCAUGGGGUGGGUGACACGGUGGCUCCUUGCCAGAUAUGGGGUUGUGUUCAUCUGUCUGUGUGCCUGGGUAAGUGAACAACACUUCUCCUAAGCCCCUGAGUGGGUGCUGGUCCUCACUGCAACACAGGGAAGCAGCUGGGAAUUGUGGUUGUUGUAUUUGACUUGAACGACCCUGGUGUGCCUUGUGGCUCUCAGGGUGGGACAGGUAAAUGCUUCAGGACUCACACCCACUUCUUUCCCCUACUACAGGCAUCCUCAAAGCAGUCUGUACUGCAUCCUGCCUGGCUAGACAGCAAAGCUCAGCUCCUCCGGAGAGCUCUAAAGCAGGAGACAGAAAUGCCUGGUGCGCUGCACAGUUCUGCAUUCUCUCUUUUGUGUGUUUCCCACCUGUUCCUCUGUUCAGGUCUGCUGUGACAUCCUCUCUAGGUCAGGAUGGAAGAAACAAUCUGUGUCUUAAAUCACACUUAGACCUCUGUGUCAAGCAGACAUUGCCUGGGACAGAGAAGGGGUUUCACAUCAACAUUUUUGCUGCUGCAUCUGUACUGGAAGGACCUUCUUCAAGGCUGCUGUGUGUCAUCUGCAGGCACCUCUGGUGUUUGGAGCAGUUCCUCCGCCUUGGGGGUUCCACUAUCAGCCAUGGGUUGCCAGGCUGGAGUAGCAGAGCAGGCACAUCGAAAUACACCCAACCAUACAUCCUUAUUACUUGAAUUGAAGGCAUAGACAUGGAUUCUCAUCAUCACAGCCCUGCAAGAAGGGAAAGGCUGGAGUUGCUGGUGUCACUAGCUGGAAAAUCUCUGAGACAGAAGGGAGCAGCAUGCUCUCUCCUGAGGAGUGAAUUGCUCUCUGUCAGUUGUUUGAUGAGAGUCAGGACCCUUGUCACCAAACCACACUGGUGUAUGGCCCAUGCCAUCCCUGCCAUGCACUUCUGCAGGUUGUCGUGUCCUCCCCAGCACAGUGCAGCAGGAAGCCCUGCAGCUCAAAAGUCACUGGUGAUGUUGUUUUGUGCCUGGUUUGUUCCAUGGAAGUGGUUGUGUGCUUGGGCACAUAGAUGUGGAAAUGAUUUUGACUGAAUGCAUGAGUCGAGGACGUCCCCACGUAUAAACAGGCAGAUACUGAGACUCAGAAAGAAGGGGGCUGCAGGAAAAGUGGGAUGUGUAGUAUUCAAUUCUUAUGUCAGAGUAGAGAAUGCAGGAGCCUAAAAACAAUCCAACUGGUGUGGGAAGACUGAUCGAACCAACUGACUUUCUGCUUCUCCCCUCUUUAUCCUCUUGAAGCUUGAGUCUCUGUUUAGGGCUAUGGGCUUCAAUUUACUGGGGGACAGAUUAGGCACUAAGAAAAAUGUGAUGGAAAGCUGGAGGGGCUCUGUGUGCGAAGAUGUUGAGAACAGUCACCAAUGGCCCCAGCAUGGGCACUGGGACCUCUCCACAGCUUUGUUUCCUGUGGUUCUGGUUGCAGCUCAGAUGCACUGAGUCACAUUCCAGUAUUAAUUGGUCCAAAUGAGAAACUAGGUGGGCUCUGUUCUGACCAGCUUGUUUGUUUUCCAUUCUAUGGGCAUCAAUUAUCAAUUUGACAGGGUGUUCUUACAGAGGGGCAAGGUGCUGGGUUCUCUGCUUUCUCAUGUUUUGCUCUGGGGUACCAUGUUCAGGGGCUUCCCUUCAUUGGAGGCUUCCCCAGCUCUUCCUUGUGGCUUUGGGCAAGUGUGUGGUUUGAACUGUGUCAGGAUUCCCAAAACAGAGGUGCUUCUUAAAGUUCUGUUCAAUUCAGCUGUUCUGCCUGUUCUUAUCAAUUUUAGAAAGGAAAAUAAGUGAAAAUCAGUCAAAGCAAAUAGCCAAACAUAAAGCAACUCCUGGAUUGUACAGAGUGUUCUCCACCAUUAGGAAUAGUCUCUUAAAUCUCAGAGCUCGUUACUUUCCUGAUUUAUUCUCCUUCCUAAUCAGUUUCUGUCCCUUUUUGUCUUUGGUGGCUAUUAAUGAGUUUUUCCAUUUCCUUUGUCUGGAUGUGCUGCUGAUUGUGUUACUGCAGUUCAAGAAACAAUAUGAAUUGAGCUGGGUGUGCAAGGUGGGCAGCAGGAGACCAUUAGCACCCACCAUUGAUCUCUGUCUAAAUGUUAAUAUGGUCACCUUUCUGUAUGUCUUUUUCAAGAGGGAGCUGAACUAGGAUUCUGACCAAAACCAGUUCUUAGGGAGGUGAAUCCUGUCUUAGAAUAUUGGCUUUGUUCUGUGAUUCAAGAGGAGCUGAGAGCAGCAGUGAGUGGGAAGGGCUCUCAGCCCCGCUUAGGCAGUUCCCAGCCAGGAUAUGAAUAGGGGGGAAGCCCCUGGGGGCAACAAGUAGCCAGAAAUGCCACUGCUGAGGAAGCUGACAGUUGCAGUGGAUAUUGUUUGAGAGCAGACUGAGGAAGAUGGCUGGGUCCUUUGCUUGGCAGUGCAGCCAGGAGGAGCAACACAGGUAUUACAGGUGGUCCUUGGCUGUGGAGCCCUGGCUGGGGGUGGAAGGGGCUGUGCUCAGGAGCUUUGGCAGAACUGUGAGGCUGUUUCUCAGUAAAUUAAGAUUACUGGUCUUCUAGCACCACUAGUUUGGGAACAGAGGCAGGAGAGAGAUGUGAGAGUUACUAUGGGGACACUUUUCUCAGGCACAAAGCAGCAGGUUGCAAGGGGCUCCCAGCCACUCCUGCUGUCUGUGGUCUUGCAGCCCUUGCUUGACGUGGCAGAAGUGAAAACCCUGGGAAUGCUGUGCUGCAAAGCAGUGCUCACACUGCCCAAGUUCUUAUGCUCACAUGUAGCUAUGCAGUAAGAGAGCCAGGUAAGACAUGCAGCAAAAGAAACAACCCAUUCCUCCUUCUGGGUCUUUGUCUGGUUUGUUUCUAAUUGCUGAGUUCAUAAGUGCCUGAUGGCUAGCAGUCAAGUCUGCUAAUUGCAGGGCUUGCCUGACUGCAAUUUCUCAGUACAUAGGGCUUGAAUUCAUCCAUUCUGCAGAAAAAAAGGUGAACAGCAAACUAUGACAGCAAUCCUGAUGGUAGUAUGUUCACCAGAUUCCCCUCUCUGUGCUGAGACAGAUCCCUCAUUUGACCAUACCUUUCCCUGCACAGAGUAAAAGCAGCUGUUUUUUUUUCCAGGAGUGUAUGAAGAAGGAAAGGUAUAGCAAGAAUAGGGGAAUGGCAGACAUUCUGGGGGUACAGCUGUCUGUCCAGCACUGAGGCUUUGCAGAAGGAGCAAUAGGUGAUACCUACAGAAUACCUGUGGGUUUUCAGCUCUGAUGAAAAUCUCAGUGUUUGGGCAAAUUUGCUUGUGCAACUUCUGCUAGCAGGACAGCAGAUCUAUGCUUCUCAUGCACCCAAGGGAUGUGGAACAGUUCUCUCUGACACGUCCAGAGCUUCCUGAGAGCUGUGUGAACAGAGGAUGUGGGAAACUGGGUCUUCUGUCCCCCCAAACCAAACACCAAGGGAUGGCCUGUGCUGGCUUGUGUGGGAAGUAGGUCUUAACUACCCCUCUUUAAUAAGAGAUUUCAAGGCUCUGUGUGCUGUGCUGGCCACCAGGCUCUGUCACUUCAGCCUACAGCCACUUACUCUGCUUACUCACCUCCCUGCUCCUGCUGGCCAAGCUAUUUCUGAUACAACCCAGGAUGCUGUUGGCCUUCUUGGCUACCUGGGCACAGUGCUGGCUACUUUUCAGCCAUCUGCCUACCAACAGCCCCAGGUCCUUUUCUGCUAGGUAACUUUCCAGCUACUCUUCCCAGUCCAUAUAUAUACAAGUGGCUUUACUCUUCCAUCAGCUCCUUCAGCACUCUUGGGUGGAUCCCAACUGGUCCCAUAGAUCUGUGUGUCCAGUGGUGUGGUAUGCUGUUAAAUACUGUUUCCCUUGGAUUGUAAGGAAUUCAUUCUGUUCCUUGCCUUUGUCUUCCAGUUCAGUGGGUUGAGUACCCCAAGAAAAAUCAGUCUUACUGAUAGUAACUGAGGUAAAGAAGGCAUUCAGUACCUCAGCCUUUUCCUCACUUGACUUCUUCCUUGUCAGUUCAUGUUUCAGCACAGGGGCAGCCUGGUCUGGUGCCUUCAGAAUUUCAUCACUGAAGAAAAUCCUUCUAGGACUCCUUUGCCCUGUAGAACUUCCUCACAAAGGUUUCUGCCAUCCAGGUCUCUAAACAGGCCAAAAUCUGUCCUCCCCGAAGUCUGAAGUAGGACAGUUCUACCAACUGUCCUCCUUGCCACCCCCAAGGAUGGAGAACUCCAUCAUCUCAUUAUCACUGUGCCUCCAACCAUCACAUCACCCACAACAUCUCCCUCUUAACAAACAACAGGCACUUUCCCUAGUCAGUUCUCUGACUACCUGUGUCAGGAAAUCAUGUUAGAUGGGAAGGUGCUGCCUUUGCCUUCCUGAGAUCUUGGGACUGAGCAGGAGCUUACCAGCAGUGCUGGAGGUACCCAGCCUAGGUACACUGAGCUUUUGAAACCCCUGCCUGUGGCUCUUUCUCACAGCUGCAUCUGGCAGCAGAGUUUUUUAUGUGAUGGAUAACACAGCUAGUGGCAUCUGCUAAUGCAUUUCUGGAUCUGGGUUUUCUUCUAGGAACAAAGACUCUUUCCCAUGUCACUCUGUAGCUGAGCUGCAUGGGGAGUGAAGGAUUUCUGCUAGCUUUUGUUUAGGGGAGGCAGGAAAGUAUCUAUCUUCUGCAAAACAAACCAUGUAAAUUUGAUGGGGAAACUUAAUAUUGUUAAAAUCUUUGUGCUUCUUUUGGUGGAAAAACAAAACUAAAACAUAAACAACACAGUUGCUUUAGAUUUAGAUUCCUGCUGGUUUGAGCAUGCCAGGAGCUUUCCAACAGGACUAAUGAGCAAUGAUAGAUGUGCCACAGCUUGAUUAGUUCUUGUCUGGUGGCUUCUGCACAGACAAUUAUUUUUGCCCAGGAAAAGGCUGCUGGUGAGAACGCCCUAGCAGUAAUGUUGCUAAAGAUCUUUGCUAUCAAUCUGAUUCAAGCAGAAGAAAAUCGACCCUGAAUUCCUUAUUGAUGAAGGUGAGGCAAAGAAAGUGCUUCCUGUUGGGACGGGGCAGCUGGAGGCUGUGCAGUUAGCUGCAGAACUGUGCAGAGGGACUUCAGCAAUACUAAUGAAGGAUGGGAUGCAGAGGGUCCACCUUGGAGCUUUAUUCUGAAAAACUCAUAUCUGUUCAUGACCCGAGCUAGAAACAGCAGUCCUUGGUCAUCAGCCAAAGGAGAGGGUGCACUCUGCAUGAGUUACACUGGUUAUCUGUGGUGUAGGCACCAUAGGUGAUAUCAUGUAAAAAGCCUAUCUGGAGCCUCAAAGAAAAAUCACCUCCAGCCAAAAAGACCUUUACAGUUGGUCAGACCAGAAGGACAGAGUUGCUGAAAAUGAAAAUGAAUAAAAAAAUAAAGAAAAAAGUCCUGUGUUGUUGGCAAGGGCACAGCAGGAGUCAAGAACCAGGCUGGAUGAUUCCUUCUCCCUGAGCCAAGGGUUUCCUCUGCCUGGUUUGUUCUUGAGCUGUCUGGUUCUGUUCAUGCACCAGGGAUGCAUCACUGCCAGAGGUGGGAACUAUAAACUUUGGAGUAUCUACUGUUCUGUUGUUUUAUGAGAGCUGUCUGUGUAUUUCUGGGCUGCAGAGAGCUCUCUGCCGUUUGUUUCAGCUGCCUAGCACAGGCACCAGGGGGUUCUUUCCAUGGCAGAAACCAAACCAUAAAGCAGUUUGUUUAUGGCAAUCACCAUUAGCUGAAUUUACUACUGCUGCCAAGAGUAAACCUGGAGAGUCAUGUAUUGGUUUCAAACAGGCUGGAAAUUGUUCUCCAGCUUGUUAAGUCCAACUCUUGUGAAUGAAGAGAAGUUGCCCUGGUGGUAGAGAAGUGGGAAGGAUUGGAGAAUAGUAUGUUCUUUAGAGAGGACAAAAUAAGGCAAUUGGGUGUAGGAGUCCAGACUGUAUCUAAGAAGCUUCCUUAAGAAUCAGGAUGAGGAGUCAUCAG
Lagopus muta (rock ptarmigan) is the source of this 13731-nucleotide RNA transcript. It is a transcript of the gene named rogdi atypical leucine zipper, with no coding region annotated. The transcript has 13 exons. The record is from RefSeq and is a predicted model, not a curated record. Lineage: Eukaryota; Metazoa; Chordata; Aves; Galliformes; Phasianidae.